AUGGAGAACGGGAAGUCGGUGGUCGCCGAGCUCGCCGCGUCGUUCAGCGGCGUCCAGGUCACGCCGCGCCGGAAGCCCACGAGCACGCCGCCAGCGGCCAGCUUCUAUUCUCCCAUGAAGGCCAGGCCUCGGAAAUUGGUUAGUUUGUGCAUUGGCGUCCUUGGUCAGCAUCUUGAAGAUAUUAUCAAUGAUAUUUCUGAAUUUACUGCCUUCUUCCCACCACACAUAAAGUUGGCAAUUAUGUCUAUCGCGAGGAGGAGAAGAUUACUGAAUGACGAUGUUCUGGUUUCUCUUGUUGAUAGCUCCUGGAAGAUCCUAGAUAUAUCUGGGUCUGAGGUUACUGAUGUUGGCCUGGCUACUGUGGCACGUACUUGUAGUAACUUAUGGGCAGUUGAUAUUAGUCGAUGUGAAAAAAUAACUGCUGCUGCCGUUUCAGAAAUUAUAUGCCACUGCCCAUCCCUGGAGAUAUUAAGAUGCGGAGGCUGUCCAAGAAGCGAAUUCACUGCCCGUGGGUGUGUCAAUCUCCUGAAACCCAAACUGAAUACCCUUGAAGAGGACUCAUGGGAGGAGCUUGAAGCAGUAGAUUUUGGCAGUGGCGCACAGUCUUUAAGAUGGCUAGUCUGGCCCAAGAUAGAUGAUAACUCGAAGGAAAUACUUGCCGUGGAGUGUCCUCGUGUUAUCGUCAACCCGAAGCCAUCACUCCUUGACCUCGGUGGAUCCAAGACCCCAAGUGAAGCAUUGGCAAGCUUACCACUAGACCAUUCUGUGGUACAAGACAUUGAUCCGAAAACAUGGGCAGUUUCUGCUGCCCCUCGAAGAAUAGCUGCUGCUCCACCUCUUCCAAAUGCUCCGCCUGAAAUACCAAUCGCGGAGAGGUUCAGGCUAGCGUAUGUGGAGAGGGACGCAAGGCUGGCGCCGAAGAGGGCCAGGAGGGAGAGGCAGCACCAACGCCGCGCUGAAAGGGAUUACUUGAUGAAUGAUAUCGACGCCAAGUCUGUCGCCCUUGCGAGUAAAUACCUGAGCAAGGGCUAG
Molecule: ribosomal RNA, 1032 nt
Filed under: Triticum aestivum (bread wheat)
Lineage: Eukaryota; Viridiplantae; Streptophyta; Magnoliopsida; Poales; Poaceae
Description: partial small subunit ribosomal RNA
Source: RNAcentral